This 48-nucleotide transfer RNA is filed under the name Vasqueziella boliviana. RNAcentral describes it as "partial tRNA-Leu". RNAcentral also lists the same sequence under 1 other name. Lineage: Eukaryota; Viridiplantae; Streptophyta; Magnoliopsida; Asparagales; Orchidaceae. The record is from RNAcentral.
AAAUCCGUCGAAUUUUUAAUCGUGAGGGUUCAAGUCCCUCUAUCCCCA